Molecule: long non-coding RNA, 2619 nt
Organism: Corythoichthys intestinalis (scribbled pipefish)
Lineage: Eukaryota; Metazoa; Chordata; Actinopteri; Syngnathiformes; Syngnathidae
Exons: 3
Source: RefSeq, a predicted model, not a curated record
GAAGGAAGAUUUUCAUCAUUUUCUUGUCGGGGGGCGGCGGGGGUGUGAGGGGAGGAAGGAAGAUGAUGAAGUAGGAGAGAGAAAAAGGGAGACUCGGGUGGCGACUUCUUCCUGGAUCAAGCUCGGUGAUGGGCUCUGCGCACACGAGACGUCCUAUUUAUUCGGAAAUCGGAAGGCAGGCAGCCAAUUAUCCUCUCGCUUGAAAUGGAUUGGAUGUCUUCGAGUGGUAAAGUCACUUAAAUUCACAGCAGAAGGGUGAAUGGAUGCCACGAUUGGACGUCUGUCAUCGUCUUGAGAAGGGAGAGCAAAAGGCUAUAAUUGGAGCCAUCAUCUGCGGCUGAGAGGCUAAAUGAGGGAUCCCUCGACUCCGGGAUUACCCUUCUUCUCUCUCUCCAUUUUUUUUUUCAUAUUGGGAAGACGUACCCCGCGUUAAGCCCCCGCCAGCGACACGUACUCCUCCAGCGCGGCCCUCUUUCACGUCCAAAUGUGUCCUGUCAGGGAGGCUUAGCGCAAAUCUACAUAAUCCCCUUUCAUCGCAAUUAAAGAUAGCAGUGAACAAUAAAAUUGCUUGCUCUCUGGUUUGUUUCGUGCGGCUUUGAGGCGGCCAAAGGUGACACGCCGCUGACAAUAUACCCAAGUUUUCCGCACACGCGUGACAAAUGAGAGAAAAAGAGAGCAUUGAGCAUUAGAAAACCCAGUAGAGGCCGACUUGGCCUUUCCCAAGACAAACACUCCUAAUAUUCCCGAGCAAUGGCCGAUUUGGCCUUUCCUCCAUGACUCAUGUGAUAGUUUGUGUCAGUUAAAGUCAAGCUACAUUUAUUUAAUUACAUUUAUUUAUGGAGUUUGACACUUUUUACACAUUUUUUAAUUCACUUCUCCUAUACUCCACACAUAACGACAGAAAGAAUGGCCCAAAUGUGUACAUUGUUUUGAAGAAAAAAAAAAAAAAAAAGCAUUUUAGAACUGCAAUUUGAGUGUAAAGCAGGAAUUGUGUCUAUAGUUUAGAAGGACUGAAUCAGGGGCAUGGAGUAUGGAUUGUGGUCAUUGUUUCUGAAGUUAAUGUGUGUCUAGUGGUUGCAUUUCCAUAUGAAUGGCUGUUGUCUGUCCGACAACGACUUUCCAAUUCAAAAGCACUUGGGUAAUUUUUGCCACCUUGGGUUGGUCAUUUUUGGGUUUUCCGGGGGAGAGGCCAUAUCGGCCAUUGUUUGGGACUAGUAGGAGUACCAGAAUUCUCUGGGACUUCUCGUGUUAAGAAUAUUGUACUAGUUCGUUAGAGAGGUCGAAAAUCGGCAGUAUUAUGUGCACUGGAAACAUUGCUAGUUCAAAAAUGAGUGAAAACAAUUUUUUUUUUACACAUUGUCUUUGCUUAUAACAGUGUUGCACCAAUGCCGGUUUUGCACCGAUACUGAUACUAGUUUGAUUUUUACGAUUAUGAUUAGUGUUGCAGCGAUACAAUUUUUUGGCCCCAAUACCGAUACCUUGCUGUGCAGUAUCGGCAGAUACCGAUACCAUACCGAUACCACUUUGUUUGAAAUUAUAUAAACUGUAUAUAUAAUAGAUAUGAAGUGAACCCAGUUGAACUUUUUAUUGCAUACCUGUUAUGGGUGACAAUUAGGGUUGUUCCGAUCAUGUUUUUUUGCUCCCGAUCCGAUCCCGAUCGUUUUAGUUUGAGUAUCCGCUGAUCCCGAUAUUUCCCGAUCCGCUUUUUUUUUUUGCUCCCGAUUCAAUUCCAAUCAUUCCCGAUAAUUUUUCCCGAUCAUAUACAUUAUGGCAAUGCAUUAAGAAAAAAAUGAAUAAAACUCGGACGAAUAUAUAUAUUCAACAUAAAGUACAUAAGUACUGUAUUUGUUUAUUAUGACAAUAAAUCCUCAAGAUGGCAAUUACAUUAUUAACAUUCUUUCUGUGAGAGGGAUCCACGGAUAGAAAGACUUGUAAUUCUUAAAGGAUAAAUGUGACUUUGUAUAUUGUGACUACAUAUUGCCAUCUAGUGUAUUUGUUGAGCUUUUAGUAAAUGAAACUGUAGCCACAUAACUGUUCUGCCCAAAUGCAUGAUGGGAAGUGCAACCAUGACUGUGCAUAGUGGCACCAAUUGAUAUAUCUUCUCUGUGCUGGGGAAUAACAUAGGGUGUUAAGAAAAAGAUCAAUUACUACCUUUCUUCCCCACAUUGCCCACAUUUCUCCCCCACAUGAUAUUUCUAAUUGUAGGGAGAGGGAUUGUAAGGCUUUAGCCAAUUAAAAAAAGGCUCCAAAGGCUGCCAAAAUUCACUCGACUCAUUUUACGCUGCCAUUUAGCUCUAUAUAUAGGUAAAACGGCGCCAUUACAGAUUGAACGCGACAAUGCGUGAGUGGGUCGUGCAGCGCAUGCGUCAAUUGCGUUAAAUAUUUUAACGUGAUAAAUUUUUUAAAAAUUAAUUACCGCCGUCAAAGGGAUGAAUUUGAUAACCCUACCUUAAGCCUAAACUAAAGACUCUGGGUGAGUGUAACAUAUUAUGUUAAAUACAAAUUAAAUACAAUUAGAAAACGAUGUAAUUGAAAAAUACAUAUAUAUUAAAAAAAGGCAUGUUCGAUAUUUUUUUGCCAAUUCCGAUACUUUUAAAAUGACGUGAUCGGACCCGAUCG